CCACAUUGAAACACCGGUUCCCGUACGGUCACUGAAGUUAAGCAGUGUUAAACCUGGUGAGUACCUUGAUGGGUGACCACUUGGGAAUAUCAAGUGCUGUAA
This is a non-coding RNA of Acanthosepion pharaonis, 102 nucleotides long. Lineage: Eukaryota; Metazoa; Mollusca; Cephalopoda; Sepiida; Sepiidae. The record is from the annotation of a GenBank genome assembly.